This 465-nucleotide ribosomal RNA is filed under the name uncultured bacterium. RNAcentral's name for it is "partial 16S ribosomal RNA". It matches the Rfam family "Bacterial small subunit ribosomal RNA", at positions 339 to 795 of the family's 1533-position model. The record is from RNAcentral.
CUACGGGAGGCUGCAGUGGGGAAUAUUGCGCAAUGGGGGAAACCCUGACGCAGCGACGCCGCGUGGAGGAUGAAGGCUUUCGGGUCGUAAACUCCUGUCAAGAGGGAAGAAACCUGCAAAGAAUAAUACGCUUUGCAAUUGACGGUACCUCUAGAGGAAGCACCGGCUAAUUCCGUGCCAGCAGCCGCGGUAAUACGGAAGGUGCAAGCGUUAAUCGGAAUCACUGGGCGUAAAGCGCUCGUAGGUGGCUUUGUAAGUCAGGUGUGAAAGCCCACGGCUCAACCGUGGAAUUGCACUUGAUACUGCAUCGCUAGAGUUCGGGAGAGGGUAGUGGAAUUCCAGGUGUAGGAGUGAAAUCCGUAGAGAUCUGGAGGAACACCAGUGGCGAAGGCGACUACCUGGACCGAUACUGACACUGAGGAGCGAAAGCGUGGGGAGCAAACAGGAUUAGAUACCCCCGUAGUC